Molecule: ribosomal RNA, 338 nt
Filed under: uncultured bacterium
Lineage: Bacteria
Description: bacterial SSU rRNA
Rfam family: Bacterial small subunit ribosomal RNA
Source: RNAcentral
AUAAGCCACCGAAAGGUGGUCUAAUACCGUUAUAGUAUCCAUCUCGUAUGGAUUAAAGCUUUAUGCGCUUUGGGAGGGGCCUGCGUUUGAUUAGCUAGUUGGUGAGGUAAAAGCUCACCAAGGCGACGAUCAAUAGCUGGUUUGAGAGGAUGACCAGCCACACUGGGACUGAGAUACGGCCCAGACUCCUACGGGAGGCAGCAGUAAGGAAUCUUCCACAAUGGGGCAACCCUGAUGGAGCAAUACCGCGUGCAGGAUGAAGCGUUUCGGCGUGUAAACUGCUUUUAUCACCGAAGAUUAUGACUGUAGGUGAAGAAUAAGGACCGGCUAACUACGUG